AGAGUUUGAUCAUGGCUCAGGAUGAACGCUAGCUACAGGCUUAACACAUGCAAGUCGAGGGGAAACGAUAUCGAAAGCUUGCUUUUGAUGGGCGUCGACCGGCGCACGGGUGAGUAACGCGUAUCCAACCUGCCCACCACUUGGGGAUAACCUUGCGAAAGUAAGACUAAUACCCAAUGACGUCUCUAGAAGACAUCUGAAAGAGAUUAAAGAUUUAUCGGUGAUGGAUGGGGAUGCGUCUGAUUAGCUUGUUGGCGGGGUAACGGCCACAAGGCGACGAUCAGUAGGGGUUCUGAGAGGAAGGUCCCCCANAUUGGAACUGAGACACGGUCCAAACUCCUCGGGAGCA
RNAcentral lists this ribosomal RNA (349 nucleotides) under uncultured bacterium. RNAcentral describes it as "bacterial SSU rRNA". It matches the Rfam family "Bacterial small subunit ribosomal RNA", at positions 8 to 349 of the family's 1533-position model. The record is from RNAcentral.